Molecule: RNA transcript, 1665 nt
Organism: Drosophila novamexicana
Lineage: Eukaryota; Metazoa; Arthropoda; Insecta; Diptera; Drosophilidae
Exons: 4
Source: RefSeq, a predicted model, not a curated record
UUGUAUGGACUUGUAUGGUAUAAUGCUGCGCAGCUUCCAUAAACAAAUCAACAUCGCAUAUUUUCAAUCUCGUCUGCGAUUCUAAAUAUUCACAAAAAUUAGGUCAAUGGCCCAAUUUAGCUCUAUGGACCAAUCGAAUUCGAAGACCCUGACGUUGACCCAAAUUGAUGGCGGGAUAAUUGGGAACGCAGCGCAAAUCGGACGAAUUGUUCAAAAUGCUUUUGUUUUUGCACAACUUUCAUUGUUAACUUUUUGGCUGCGUCGACGCUGACAGAGACAACGCAAGCAGCACCAGCGAUAUAAAUUUCAUGGAAUUUGCCGAGUUUUGCGCGGUUUUGUUUAUCACCACAUCCCACAACAUCAUCCACUUGUCGCUAGCCGCUCGCCGUUGGCUCAUUGGGCACGUGCAGCCGCCGAGCGAAAGCAGCGAUGCACCUGAACCGAACGCCUUAUGUGCUGCGGCCGCGGCCCUGGCGCGUAGAAAUGAGAAAGUGUCCCUGCCCGAUGUUGAAGCGAGCGAUGCCAAAUUUCAUUUAACUAGAAUCGCAGACAACAGCAACAACAACGACGUGCGCUGAGCUUUAAAUCUUGGGUAUAAAACGUGUGGGUCGCUGCGGUGUCAAUUCAAACGUUUAACGAACGCAGAGCAGCACGCGACCGAUAAGAGGAGUCACCCACAGUAGCAGCAUAAUAACAAUAAUAUUACCUUAACAACAUCAAGUACCACUGAGAUGCACGCCUGUAAAUUAAUGUUGAGUUUGCUGCUGGCGCUGCUGUGCAGCGAGGGCCUGCUGGCGGCCUGUGUGUGCUCGGAGAAGGGCACCGAUUACUGUCAGAGCUGUCAGGGACCGACCAUAGUGCGCCCGAAGCCCCGCUAUUAUGAGCCCAGCGAGGUGAAUCUGUCGCCCAUUGGCGACAAUUGCUGGUGCAGCAAGCAGCUGAUCGAACCCGCCCAGCUGCCCAAGACCUGCGGCAAAGUACGUGAGCUUUUUCAAUAUGUGCACGCGUUUAACAAUCUGUUGAGCCGCCGCAUGCUUGAGGGUGCCAUCGAGGCCAAGACUCUGGCGGCACAACGUCUGGCCGAGCGGCUGCAGCGCUUAGAGCAUGCGGACUGCCAGAAGCGGCGUAGCGUUCACAUGGUUCCAUCUGCGAGCUAUGGCUACGGCCUGUGACUAAUCCAGUGUCUAACAAGCUUAAUCUUAGAUUUAUAGAACACAACCCAGUAGACCUAAAAGACUAGUAUAUGCAUGCCCAGUACAACCCAGCACUAUAAUUCACUAAUAUAUAAUAUAUACACUAAUAUAUACAUGCAUACAUACAUACAUACUUACUUAAAUUCGCACACCUGCAUACAUCCUCUGCAAUAAGAGCAAUAGCAAUCGUUGAGCAUUGUUUCCGCAUGCAAGCGCUAUCUGCGCCCAAAUGUGUGCAGCAAUAGGCCAAUAGCAAGAACGUUGGGCUUGCAACAUCAUCAGUAUCGUCAUCAUUGGCAAGUGUACCAGAACAUCAUCAUCAUCGUCACGAACAUCAUCAUUCUAGUGGACUUGGGCAUCGCUGGCGGCUAUGUCAUCAUUAUCAUCCCAAGCCGCCAUGCAAACCCACCUGCGGCUGCCAACAGAGCGAAGAUAGCAGCUACAGCAGCUCCAGCACCAGCUCCACUUACGA